Non-coding RNA from Lachnobacterium bovis DSM 14045, 207 nucleotides. NCBI's taxonomy places the organism in Bacteria, Bacillati, Bacillota, Clostridia, Lachnospirales, Lachnospiraceae. The record is from Rfam.
UAUAACUUAUUUCUCGAGAAGUAAAAUGCGUAAUAAACAUUUAUAUUACAAAGUGCUUCCUUUAAUACUCCGAAUAGCAUCCUUUAUUUUGCACAUUAUAAGAUGUUAUAAGCUCGGUAAAGUCGACUGAGAGCCACCCUAUCACGUUAUGGUGAGGAAAUGCGAACUAGAGGUAGUCGAGUGGAUGAUAGGUCGGAAGUCUACAAA